UUAACCGCUUUCAUAUUUUGAAGAUAAUGUGCAUCACACAGCUGUUCCUAUCCAUUUAUUUGGUAGCAUGGAUCAGACUCCAUUUUUAUUUUCUCUCGUCUUCUUCCAACCUUUAGGUAUGUCUCUUUUCUUUUCCUUUUACAUAUUUUACCUCUCCCUAUUUGUUAUAUAAAUAGAGUAUUAUAUUUUGGGUUACUUCUGUAGCGUCUAAACUUUAUAAUCUGAAUGAAAGUGUUUGAAUUAAAACGUCAUAUACAGAAGAUGAGUAAAUAAAAAUAUAAUAUACAUUGGAUUCUUAUAUGAAUAGUAAGUGCAUACCAUUUAUAUUUUGCAUACUAUUGUAGGAAUAAUCUGAAUGAAAGUGUUUGAAUCGUAGAAGUAAAGGAAAAAGUUUGAAGGAAAUAGAAAAAACAUAUCAUGAUAUGUUUAUUUACUAUAUUUGACAUUUAUAUCAUGUAGAAUAUACAUUAAAAACGAUACGAAAGUGGGCUGAUAGACAUGGUAGUGUCUGUCAACACGCUAGUAUAUAUAAAUUUAAUAUAAAAAUGUAGGCAAAAAUAUAAUUUAAUUAUUAGAGUUAGAUGAGUCUACUUAAAAUUAUGUCAAUUAUCCCAUUUAAAUGUAGACAUGGUGACAUAUUUUAUGACCAUAUAGAGUAAACAUUUAAACAAACUAAUAGGUCUGACCAGACUUUUAAACAAGUCAGAUCUAGGCUAUGAAUUUUUUUUAAAUAGACUAGGAUCAAGCUCCUAUAUGCUAUAUAGGUUCGGUAUGUUUAAGACAAAAUCUGGCCUAAGCUAUUUUUACCCUUACCCAUCAAAAGGGUAACGACUAUCAACUACUAACAUUGCACAUCAUUUGACUACCAUUGCCCAUUAGUUGGCCAAUCAGGCUCAAAAUCAAUCAAGGUUCAUAUUCCACCAUUCAAGUCCAACCAAAAAGUUUUGAACCAACAAGUUCUAAGACCAUAAUCCAAAUGGCCUAAGACUAAUCCAAGAUCUGAACUAAAAUAUGAGAUCCACCAAGGUCCAAGUUCUUGUGUGUAAGGAAAGACUUCCAUAAAUGACAUCAAGGAUCCAUCAUAGGUUUAGAUAAGUCUGUCAAUACUCAAUAUUGACUUAUUGAUAGGAUAGGAGCAUGACCUUAACAAUAAUAUCAUUGGACCCUCAUUUGGAGCAAAGCAAGUAUAUCAUAUUUAUAUAAUUUUUAGGAUUAUAAGAAUUUUAUGUGUAUAUUAUAUGUAGUUAUAUUACUUUUAGGUGGACAUGCUUAACUUGUGUAUUUGAUUGGAUUGUAAGACUUUUUUUAUUUUAAAUAUAAUUGAUGUGUAUAGAUAUUUACUUUUCCAUUUUAUAUUUAAAUUAUGAUUUGAUCAAUUGUUUUAAAAAUAUAUAAAUUAAUUUUGACAUCAUUACUCACUAAAACAUUUUAUAAUAGAACCAUGCUAUGGGUGUAGGCAGUGGCGGAUCUUGAUCUAAUAUUUAAAGGGGAAACAAUAUUUAAUUAAAAUUAAUUGUGUAACAAUGAUAUAUAAAGAAAAAUAUAUAUUUGUUUCAAAGUGUCAAAAUAACAUAUUAAUUCUAAAUAACGUUAGUUAACAACUAAAUGUGUAAAAUAAAAAUGUACAUUCAUUUAAAGUAUCGAAGUUCGUUCUUUUAAAGAAUUAUACUCAUCGCUCAUUGAAUUAGAGGUAAAAGAUCAUGUUAUUUUCUUUUCAAUAUAAAUCAUUAUCGUGUCUCUAAGAAAUUAUCUUCUAUCUGACUAUGUAGUCUUGUUUCGAUUGUUUUCAUUGCUAAAAAUGAUAUUUUUGUAGUUGUUGUAGAAAUCAGUAAGAUAAACAAAUCAAUCAAACAAGUAUUAUGAAUUCACUUUUUUUUUGUAAAAUCUACACUUAAUUUAGUGAUGUUCUUCGAUUCGAAUGCCCGACGACAUCAAAAAGAAAAUGUUGAUGUUGAUAUCUCUAACUAAUAUUCUCUUCCUCAUCGAAAUUUAUAGGUUCUACUUGUAAACAAAGAUAAAUAUAUUAUCAAUAUUAAAUGUUUUAUAGGCAUUGUUAGGAUUCGAACUAAUAUUGAGAGGUAAAAUAAAUAUUUUAAUGAAGAGAAAAAUGUAUACAACUCAAUAAGAAUGAUAUAUUGUCGCUGUAUAAAUAUUUAUACUGAUAAUAUAUAAAUAUUAUAAUCUUUAAUAAAUAAGUUAAACUAAAUAUUUUAAAGAAAAACUAAAAAGUUCAAGGGGGUAGCUGCCCCACCUGCUCUUAGCAUCAUCUGCCACAAGGUGUAGGGCUAUGGUUAUAGGUUUGAGUCUUUCACUAUCACUAAGACUUCUAUUAAUAGAAUAAAAUUGUGAGUAUAAGAAAAACUUGAUACAUUGAUAACACCUAUAAUGAUGGACAAAAUCUAUUAAUAGAAUAAAAUUAUUUGAAGGUAUAGUUUAAAGUCUUCUAUCAAUGAUCUCGGCUAUCAUCACUCAAACCUAUACUGACAUGACAAAAUCGUAGAUGUAGUAACUUAAAUAUGACGGACACAAACAUCCAUGGGUAAAAGUUUUUUUUGUUUUUAUACCUAUGAUUAUUUUCUUUCACCAACGACUUUUGACUCUAACUAAAUUAAUUUUUUUUGUAGUGUGAGCAUGAAGUACAUUAUAUUUGUCAUCUUUGUGAGUUUUCUCUACCUUACUCUCUCUAUCAUAUAUUUGUCAUAUGUAAAUAUUGACUAAGUGACUAUAAUACUCACACAAGGUAGUCCAAGGUUGGUCUUCAGUCAAGUUCAACACUAUUCCAACACUUGCAGGCCAGUUUUCAAUCCUAUUCAGUUCAAAGUCAUUAUUGUCAUGUCAUCCCUCCUCCACCAAACUCAAAGAACA
Molecule: long non-coding RNA, 2865 nt
Filed under: Lupinus angustifolius (narrow-leaved blue lupine)
Lineage: Eukaryota; Viridiplantae; Streptophyta; Magnoliopsida; Fabales; Fabaceae
Description: long non-coding RNA (LANG_LNC003018)
Source: RNAcentral